UUAGUAUAGCAUGCCAAACUGACCCCUUGGUGCCAGAGUGUUCCUGUGCUGCGGUAGAGCUCAAGGCCCAGCUAGAUAGCGCUCACUGAGAUCAGUGAAGACCAGAACUACACCACAGAUGAAGCUGACGGAGAGUGAGAUCAGUGAAGACCAGAACUACACCACAGAUGGAGCCGAUGGAGAGAGAGAGAUCAGUGAAGACCAGAACUACACCACAGAUGGAGCCGAUGGAGAGAGAGAGAUCAGUGAAGACCAGAACUACACCACAGAUGGAGCCGAUGGAGAGAGAGAGAUCAGUGAAGACCAGAACUCUCUGUAUGAACCUGAGAGCUCAGAAGCCAAGACAUACUUUUGAAGAUGAAAGAUCCACAAUACAUAGUCUGAUAGAAAGCUUAAGGAGUUCAAUGUCAAUGUCUGCAAUGAGCCAGGAUGUCGAGCAGGUGUCAUCAGUUCAUCCCUGAAAAUACAUGGUUUUGCCAUCACCAUGGAGACCGUGUGUUGUGGGCCACAGGAGGAAGUGGGAUCCCCAGACCAGAGUGGGAAAGUUGUUUGCAGGGAAUCUGUUGGUGCCAUCAGCAGCCUUCUUUACUGGCGGGCUCCUGCUCCAUAUUUGUGGAAACAUGUCACCUCCUCAGUCUGGUGUCCAUGUCUCUGUGACGGUUCACAAGCCAACAGCACCAUGUGCCAGAGGUUAACUACAUGUUGACCCAGCACACAGAGGCCAUUCUGGAUACAGUUGGUGACAGUCCACUAAUCGUAUCUGGAGACGCACGGUGUGAUUCACCCGGCCGUUGUGCCUCCGUUGGCUCUUACACCAUCUCAACUUCCCCCAGGAGACUGUUCUUCCGUUGGCUCUUACACCAUCCUGGACUCUGCUUCCCAGGAGACUGUUCUUCCGUUGGCUCUUACACCAUCCUGGACUCUGCUUCCCAGGAGACUGUUCUUCCGUUGGCUCUUACACCAUCCUGGACUCUGCUUCCCAGGAGACUGUUCUUCCGUUGGCUCUUACACCAUCCUGGACUCUGCUUCCCAGGAGACUGUUCUUCCGUUGGCUCUUACACCAUCCUGGACUCUGCUUCCCACCUGAUCCUCCCCCAGGAGACAGUUCUUCCGUUGGCUCUUACACCAUCCUGGACUCUGCUUCCCACCUGAUCCUCCCCCAGGAGACUGUGCAUGCGAUGUGAGGAAUAGUUACUGUUUGGAGACAGAGGGAUUAGAGAGAUGUCUGCAACACAUUGAGGCCCAUGGAUGCAGUAUUCAAACCCUGGCCACUGACAGGCAUCCAAGUGUGAGGGUGACCUUGAGGGACUCACCUGCUGAUAUCUGGCAUGAGCAUGACCUGUGACCUGGUGGCCGUUGGGAAGCCAGAGGACAAUCCCAGCAGACUCUCCUGAGUGCCCAAAGAGAGAGAGUGCCCAUCACUUUGGGGCGGUGGGCUGGUGUUCCGAAAAUGGAUAAGGAGCAGGCCAUUCAACAGCGAAUUCAAAGAUACACACAUCUAUAAAUACAUAAAUGUACAGUGCCUUGCAAAAGUAUUCCUCCCCCAUGGCGUUUUUCCUAUUUUGUUGCAU
This is a long non-coding RNA of Oncorhynchus tshawytscha (Chinook salmon), 1571 nucleotides long. RefSeq lists it as uncharacterized. The transcript is spliced from 3 exons. NCBI's taxonomy places the organism in Eukaryota, Metazoa, Chordata, Actinopteri, Salmoniformes, Salmonidae. The record is from RefSeq and is a predicted model, not a curated record.